Molecule: ribosomal RNA, 253 nt
Filed under: uncultured bacterium
Lineage: Bacteria
Description: partial 16S ribosomal RNA
Rfam family: Bacterial small subunit ribosomal RNA
Source: RNAcentral
UACGAAGGGGGCUAGCGUUGCUCGGAAUCACUGGGCGUAAAGGGUGCGUAGGCGGGUCUUUAAGUCAGGGGUGAAAUCCCGGGGCUCAACCUCGGAACUGCCUUUGAUACUGCAAAUCUCGAGUCCGGAAGAGGUGAGUGGAAUUCCUAGUGUAGAGGUGAAAUUCGUAGAUAUUAGGAAGAACACCAGUGGCGAAGGCGGCUCACUGGUCCGGUGCUGACGCUGAGGUGCGAAAGCGUGGGGAGCAAACAGG